Molecule: ribosomal RNA, 333 nt
Filed under: uncultured bacterium
Lineage: Bacteria
Description: bacterial SSU rRNA
Rfam family: Bacterial small subunit ribosomal RNA
Source: RNAcentral
CUAGCGACUUCAGAGUUUGAUCCUGGCUCAGGACGAACGCUGGCGGCGUGCUUCAUACAUGCAAGUCGAACGAGAAGUUACCUUCGGGUGAUGGAAAGUGGCGGACGGGUGAGUAAAAUGUAGGAAAUCUGCCCUAGAGAGGGGGACAACGGUUGGAAACGACCGCUAAUACCCCAUAUGAGCGUACCUGAAAUGGUAUUCUUGAAAACUCCGGUGCUCUAGGAUGAGCCUGCAUCUGAUUAGCUAGUUGGGGGUGUAAUGGACCACCAAGGCGACGAUCAGUAGCUGGUUUGAGAGGAUGAUCAGCCACAAUGGGACUGAGACACGGCCCAU